Molecule: ribosomal RNA, 440 nt
Filed under: uncultured bacterium
Lineage: Bacteria
Description: partial 16S ribosomal RNA
Rfam family: Bacterial small subunit ribosomal RNA
Source: RNAcentral
CCUACGGGGGGCAGCAGUGGGGAAUAUUGCACAAUGGGGGAAACCCUGAUGCAGCGACGCCGCGUGAGUGAAGAAGUAUUUCGGUAUGUAAAGCCCUAUCAGCAGGGAAGAAAAUGACGGUACCUGACUAAGAAGCCCCGGCUAACUACGUGCCAGCAGCCGCGGUAAUACGUAGGGGGCAAGCGUUAUCCGGAUUUACUGGGUGUAAAGGGAGCGUAGACGGCUGCACAAGUCGGGAGGGAAAUGCCGGGGCUGAACCCCGGAACUGCUUUGGAAACUGUGCAGCUAGAGUGCAGGAGAGGUAAGUGGAAUUCGUAGUGUAGCGGUGAAAUGCGUAGAUAUUAGGAGGAACACCAGUGGCGAAGGCGGCUUACUGGACUGUAACUGACGUUGAGGCUCGAAAGCGUGGGGAGCAAACAGGAUUAGAUACCCCUGUAGUC